RNAcentral lists this ribosomal RNA (581 nucleotides) under uncultured Stenotrophomonas sp. Its description in RNAcentral is "bacterial SSU rRNA". It matches the Rfam family "Bacterial small subunit ribosomal RNA", at positions 102 to 679 of the family's 1533-position model. Lineage: Bacteria; Pseudomonadati; Pseudomonadota; Gammaproteobacteria; Lysobacterales; Lysobacteraceae. The record is from RNAcentral.
ACGGGUGAGGAAUACAUCGGAAUCUACUCUGUCGUGGGGGAUAACGUAGGGAAACUUACGCUAAUGCCGCAUACGACCUACGGGUGAAAGCAGGGGAUCUUCGGACCUUGCGCGAUUGAAUGAGCCGAUGUCGGAUUAGCUAGUUGGCGGGGUAAAGGCCCACCAAGGCGACGAUCCGUAGCUGGUCUGAGAGGAUGAUCAGCCACACUGGAACUGAGACACGGUCCAGACUCCUACGGGAGGCAGCAGUGGGGAAUAUUGGACAAUGGGCGCAAGCCUGAUCCAGCCAUACCGCGUGGGUGAAGAAGGCCUUCGGGUUGUAAAGCCCUUUUGUUGGGAAAGAAAUCCAGCUGGCUAAUACCCGGUUGGGAUGACGGUACCCAAAGAAUAAGCACCGGCUAACUUCGUGCCAGCAGCCGCGGUAAUACGAAGGGUGCAAGCGUUACUCGGAAUUACUGGGCGUAAAGCGUGCGUAGGUGGUCGUUUAAGUCCGUUGUGAAAGCCCUGGGCUCAACCUGGGAACUGCAGUGGAUACUGGGCGACUAGAGUGUGGUAGAGGGUAGCGGAAUUCCUGGUGUAGC